CCCUUAGAUGUCCUGGGCCGCACGCGCGCUACACUGAUGCAUUCAACGAGUUUUACCUUGGCCGAGAGGCCUGGGCAAUCUUUUAAACCUGCAUCGUGAUAGGGAUAGAUUAUUGCAAUUAUUAAUCUUGAACGAGGAAUUCCUAGUAAACGCAAAUCAUCAAUUUGCAUUGAUUACGUCCCUGCCCUUUGUACGCACCGCCCGUCGCACCUACCGAUUGAAUGGUCCGGUGAAGCCUCGGGAUUGUGGCCAGUUCACUUUAUUGGGAGUUGGCUGUGAGAACUUGUCUAAACCUUAUCAUUUAGAGGAAGGUGAAGUCGUAACA
This 325-nucleotide ribosomal RNA is filed under the name uncultured eukaryote. RNAcentral's name for it is "partial 18S ribosomal RNA". It matches the Rfam family "Eukaryotic small subunit ribosomal RNA", at positions 1470 to 1796 of the family's 1831-position model. The record is from RNAcentral.